RNAcentral lists this ribosomal RNA (525 nucleotides) under Boehmantis microtympanum. Its description in RNAcentral is "partial 16S ribosomal RNA". It matches the Rfam family "Bacterial large subunit ribosomal RNA", at positions 1853 to 2597 of the family's 2925-position model. Lineage: Eukaryota; Metazoa; Chordata; Amphibia; Anura; Mantellidae. The record is from RNAcentral.
UCCAGCCUGCCCAGUGAUAAAUUAAACGGCCGCGGUACCCUAACCGUGCAAAGGUAGCAUAAUCACUUGUUCUUUAAAUGAGGACUUGUAUCAACGGCAUCACGAGGGGUCUACUGUCUCCUUCCUCCAAUCAGUGAAACUGAUCUCCCCGUGAAGAAGCGGGGAUACCCCUAUAAGACGAGAAGACCCCAUGGAGCUUUAAACCCAAUAACAACCCCACUUACUACACCCACUAAACUAAUAGGGUUCUGUAUACUUGGUUUUAGGUUGGGGUGACCGCGGAGUACAACAAAACCUCCACAAUGAACGAGACUACUCUUAUCUACGAGCCACACCUCUAAGAAUUAAUAUAUUAACACAAAUGAUCCGAUAUUCGAUCAACGAACCAAGUUACCCUGGGGAUAACAGCGCAAUCCAUUUCAAGAGCCCAUAUCGACAAAUGGGUUUACGACCUCGAUGUUGGAUCAGGAUAUCCUAGUGGCGCAGCAGCUACUAAAGGUUCGUUUGUUCAACGAUUAAAAUCCU